CUUGGCGUUUAGCUUGGUUUAGUUUCAUCAAUACGGAGGAAGGACACCUGAACGAUGAUGUCGUGACGUCAUCAUGAAAAAAGUAAGUCAGUGAUGUAUACCUCAUGCAAUUAUCCCAUUUACUGUAUUAUAAUCUUAAGAUUUUUUCUCGAGAAAAAGUACUCUUAAGCUUUUGUAGGGAAAUGUUUUUAUAGGCAAAUAACAACUAAAUGACCCAUGAGAUGGUCGUCGAUGUACAACUCCACAGCUCCUUCGAGACAUCAACUCAGACGCUUCAUGUAAACAUGCUUUGGAUGGAAAAACCUGGUUCCAAAUGGAACACUGGCUGUAAUUUUCCUGCAGAAUUGGAGUAACUAAUGCAAAGUCAGAAAAUGGAACAAGGUAAAGAACUCAAGAAUGUAAAUGUCCAUUAUUACUUUGAGUUGGUCAUACCUUGAACUACUAAGUAGUGUUUCAUUAAACACCGUUGUAUUAAACCAAUAAGGCCUAUAAGAACAAUUCUGUAUGAGAUCUCAUGUUUUCUAUAAAAUACAAAUAUUAACUCAAGAUUAGCAAUUACAGUAUUCUGUAAAAGAUACGCAACUCAUGCUAAGAUAGCUUCUCCACGAGAACACACCUACUUAGGAUGAAGGGUGUGGUAGUUACAAUUAGUCUACAAAUUUUCCAACACUAGAUGUUAUUAAGGUCCCCUCUACAUGCUUCAUUCCAAGCAUACAUGACAAAUGCUUAUGCAAAAAUACAAGAGAAGAUCCACAUUUGACACAUAGUUGUGAAGCCGGAUUAUUUGAAACAUGCCUUUGCUGACUAUUUUGCAACCACUGAGAACCUUUUUUUUACUAAGAACAAUGAUAAAAGCAAUAAAAACAGGGUCAUAUCUGAAGGCACCUUUGCACUGGCUUUUGUUUUCUCCAAAAGAUCUAAGAGAGUGGUGGGAGAUGAUGGAUAAGUCUUUGUGGCUGGUCUUUGUGGGGCUGCAGCACAUGGUCUUUUGCGUCCUUGUGGCUGCUGGUUUGACUAGCUCUAGCAUCAUCUUAGCUUUAACAUCUUAGACUAGCAUCUUAGACUAGCUAGCAUCAGCUUAGCUUUAGCAUCUUAGACUAGCAUCUAGCAUAUGCUUGGCUGCCUGCAGCUCCUAUAAAUAUGUAUCCCCAACCCCUUAGGUUGGUAUGGCAUUGUGUGAGAAAUAAAUCAGAAAACCCCUGGUUGUUUCUCUCCCUCCGCUCAGUCGAGCAACAGCUCGUCAGCAGUAGCUCUCUCUUCAUGCUGCAGUCCCCCAGCGGCGAGCCAUGUCCGCAGGCCACUCUCAGCACUCGGUUACCUCGAGCACGCGGCAUCGGCAAGAGGCCGAGCUCGCCGCGGAGCGUGAUCGAGCGGCGGCAGCAAGGGUGUCAAGGCUGGCAGCAGAGCUGGCAGCAGCCAGAGCGGAGGUAGAAGCAGCGGCGGCGGCGGAUGCCGCACGUGAGGCGGUGGCGGAGGUCGAGGAAUUGCGCGGCAGCGCCAACAGCUCCGUUUCUGGAGACGGCAGCGCCGACGCAAACCGCGAUGAUGCAGCGUAGCGGGCGGUGCAGUGGGCAGCCGAGCACGCCUAGGGUGGUGCUCCCGGAGGAGGUGUGCAUGUCGAUGGUGCUCCCGGAGGAGGCACGCACGACGGUGGCGUUCCUAGAGGAGGCGCGCACGGCAGCGGCGACUGGGACGACCAAAACCGCGGCCUCUAUGGGGUCCGAACAGUGGUCAGGGACGUUGGUCCCGGUGUUGGGUGGCCCACCCUCACCAAAACCAACUACGUCGAGUGGGCCGCGAUCAUGAGGAUCAGGCUCCAGGUGCGGCACAUGUGGGAGGCGAUCCAGUAUGGCGACGUCGACCAGCAUGAGGAUCGACGGGCGCUGGAUGCCCUCAUCGCCGCAGUCCCGCCUGAGAUGCAGUUCUCGCUUUCCAACAAGCGGACUACCAAGGAGGCUUGGAACGCCAUCGCCGCGGCAAGCAUCGGCAGCGACCGCGCUCGCAAGUCCACGCUGCAGGCACUUCGCAAGGAGUGGGAGAACCUGGCCUUCCAGCCAGGUGAAGACGUUGAUGACUUUGCUCUCCGUCUCAAUACUCUGCUGUAGAAGAUGGUGCAGUUCGGCGAUGACACCUACGACGAAGAGAGAGCUGUCGAGAAGCUCUUUCGCUGCAUCCCCGAGAAGUAAAAGCAAAUGGCUCGCUCGAUCGAAUCUCUGCUAGACCUCUCCACGAUGUCGAUCAAGGAGGCGAUAGGUCGCCUCAAGGUCGUCGACACCGACGAGCCACAGCCUCUCUCGGGGCCCAUCACUACUGGCGGGAAGUUAUUACUCACUCGGGAGCAGUGGGAUGCCUGCAACGGUGACAGGAAGAAGGGGGAGUCCUCUUCCACGACAAGCGGCCGUAAGCGUGGCAAACCGCGCACGGCGCACGGAGGCGCCCGGACCAGGGGGCAAGGACGUGCCGAAGGUGAUGCCCACGGAGGCGCCCGGGAAGGCCCCGCCGGCAGGCACAGACCGGCACAAGACGACACCUGCCACAACUGUGGCCAGCUUGGCCAUUGGGCCAAGGACCGUCGACAGCCACGACGCGGCAAGGCCCACGUCGCACAGGCGGAGGAGGAGGAGCCGGCUCUAUUUUUGGCGCAUGCCAGCAUCGAGCUACCUCCAGCGACACCGGCCGCAACGGCUCUCCUCCACCUAGACGAGCCCAAAGCACACGCCCUUCUCGGCGACGGCUCCGGCAACGACAAGAUUGGUGGGUGGUGCCUCGACACCGGCGCCACCCAUCACAUGACCGGUCGACGGGAGUUCUUCGCCGAGCUUGACUCCGUCGUGUGAGGCUCCGUCAAGUUUGGGGAUGCCUCCGCCAUGGAGAUUAAGGGAGUCGGCUCCGUCAUCUUCACCGCCAAGACUGGAGAGCACAGGCUGCUCACCGGUGUCUACUACAUCCCCGCGCUGAGGAACUCCAUCAUCAGCCUGGGACAGCUGGACGAGAAUGGCUCGCGCGUGCUGAUCGAGCAUGGGAUCCUACGCAUCUGGGAUCACCAUCAUCGCCUUCUUGCCAAGGUAUAGAGAGGUGCAAAUCGGCUCUACGUUCUUAACGUAUAGGUGGCACAACACCUCUGUCUCGCUGCUCGUCGGGACGACGAGGCGUGGCAGUGGCACGAGCGCUUCAGGCAUAUACACUUUGAGGCCCUGGAGCGGCUCAGUGCCACGGAGAUGGUGCGAGGCCUGUCGUGCCUUGACCAUGUGGAGCAGUUAUGUGACGUCUGCGUGUUGAUGAAGCAGAGGCGACUCCCCUUUCCCCAGCGGGCGAGCUUCCGUGCCAAGGAGAGGCUCGAGCUUGUGCACGGGGACUUGUGCAGCCCGGUGACCCCGGCCACACCGGGAGGACGACGCUACUUCCUGCUGCUCGUCGACGACCUCUCCCGCUACAUGUGGGUGAGGGUCCUCGGCAGCAAGGGAGAAGCAGCGGACGCCAUUAGGCGCGCGCAGGUUGCUGCGGAGGCGGAGUGUGGCCGCAAGCUGCACGUGCUGCGUACCGACAAUGGCGGCGAAUUCAUGGUGACUGAAUUAGCGUCGUACUGCGCGGAUGAGGGCAUCCAGCGCCACUACUCCGCACCAUACAGCCCGCAGCAGAACAAUAUCAUCAAGCGGCGAAACCAGACAGUUGUGGGGAUGGCUCAGGCCCUUCUCAAGCAACAAGGUAUGCCGGCUAUUUUCUGGGGAGAGGCGGUGGUGACAGGCAUCUACAUCCUCAACCGCUCGCCUACUAAAGCACUCGACGGCAUGACGCCGUACGAGGCUUGGCAUGGGCGAAAGCCGGCGGUCUCUCACUUGCGGGUCUUCAGCUGCUGAAGCGACCGCCCCCGUACACGGGUUCGAUCUCUGUGCUUUAGUGCUGGUCCCUGGAUCGACUCACUAGCACACACAGUUUCAAGAUGUAAUAUCAUAGAACAAAGGUCUCAAUAUUACAGCGAAUCAUCCGGAAUUUAAAAGGUACUUACAACUCGCAUAACCUCACGGGUUAGCUGGAAAUAAAACAACUGUUUAGCAGCGGAAAGUGAAAGAUAUAAGGGCACAUCAACACCACGGUGAGAGCGUGUUGGAAUGUAAGCCCGUAACCCAAACAUGCAGAACGUACAUCUUACUCGUCGUCGGAGCUUCCUGCAUCAUUAAACGAUGCAGCCACUAGGGUCAAUACAUUGAAUGUAUUGGCAAGAUUCACUAGGAGUUAUAAUAGAACCUACCAAGUAUAUGCAGUAUUUGGCAAGGUGGAGUUCAGGCUAUUUGCGUGGAAGCAGAACAUAAAAUACCCUACUACAAAGGAAUGUUAUAAUAAUGUUAACUAAUGGACACGAGGUAGACACACCCAUGCUCCUAUUAACCUAGAGUACAUUGAUGUGGAUUCAUCAAGUGCCCCUACCCUGUUCAACCAUCCAUUUUAUUUAAGAAAUUGGAAUGAGUGAGACUUUCCUUACAGCUCCACAUCUAGUCGCUCAAAUUGUCCGUUGCCGGGGACACGGCUAAGUACUUAGUUUUUACGUUCUCGAGAGUUUGUACACAUUCCCCACAAGAAACCGACGUGUUAAUCCCUUGCUGUCCUUAGGGUAGAGUAGCAACGGCAUCGAUUACGAGAUUUUCAGAGGUAAUUCCCUAAACCACGAGAGAAUCACGCUCCCCCUACACGGCUACCUCAGUACAAUUCUUCGGGUUUAGGUUCAUACAACUUACUCUUGUCUCGCGAGAGCCCAUAUAGCAUUGUGGCUGUACUAGAAGCUUCUAAAUAGGAAACUAGUACAGUCUCAGUUACCCCAGGUGGCAUUCCACAUUUGCCACGUAGGCGCUCCCUGAAUCCACGGGAGAGACGUCCAUGGACGAUCCAUUCCUGAAUCCACAGGAACUCGACUCAGAGGGACCCAUAGAAAUGGACCUGACGCCGCUAAUUCUCAAAAUCCUCAAAGCAGCCCACCCAGGAUGGUUCAUUGAAUUGGUUGUUUUGCCUUACAUCUAGCAAAAAUAUUUCAUAUAGCCAAAGGCAUAACAAUAUCAUAAUGUAGUUAUUUUCCCCACGAUACUACCAUAGCUUAGCAUUCAACUACAAUCGAUGGCAAUUUGAUAGCAAGGUAAUGGCGAGGGUAAACUAGACUACCUGGGAUUUAUAACUAGCACAGAGGUACGAGCAAUAGUCCUAUUAAUGCAUCUCUACCAACAACACUAAUGCAUAAGUAUUUUAAAACAACAAUAAUAAUGGGAUAUGAUCAAAGUGAACUUGCCUUGUCCAAGGUUGUGGUAGUUCUCGCACUCUUCGCAACAACAAUGAUUACACUCCACACAAUCUAAAUUAAAAGGAACACACACAAUAAACACAACACUCAAUACAAAAUCAUGCCAUGAUGCAUAUGCUAUGAUGAUGCACAACGAAGGUUACUUCUAAAGUAAAAAGUUUCGUUUCUGUUUUAAAAAGUUUUUCAAAUGGUUUGGACGAAUUAUACAACAACAAAGUGCUAAUUAAUAUGUUUGAAACAAGGAUAGGUUGUAAAACAAAAGAUUGUGCGGCUUUUGCAACAUAGAGCAAUAUUUAACUUGCAUGCCAUGAUUAUACACAAAAUAAUUUCUUUUCUGGUCCCACUGGACAGAGAACAAGUUUAAUAAAUCUUAUAGCAAGAUAACAUGCUCAAAACUAUUUUGAAACAAUUCAUUUGAAAUUUAAACCAUAUUCAACCAUUCUGUAAAUAGCUACUGUCUAAGUUGUUCAAAACUAAAAUUAAACAGUGCCAAAAUAUUCUACACGUUGAGACGAUUUCAGAAAGGUGCGGAUCACAAUUUUUGGACAAACGGUUUGAAAGAUAUGAGGCUUUAAAGAUACAGGGGCUUUUCUGCAAAAGUGCAUUACUAAUUCGGCCGAAUUAAAAUAAACUUAAAAAAAAUGCUCUACCACGUGGCAGCGUGGGAUAGGCCGGAUCUAGGGUUCCGGCCGGCGGGGCUAGCUCGCCGGACGGCGGCGGCGGGCGGCGCGGGCAGGCGGCGCGGCGGCGCUCGGGCGGCUGGCGGCGCACGGGCGGCUGGAGCGUGCGCGGCGCGGCAGGCGGAGCGGCGCGUGCGGCUCGGGGCGGUUGCUGGCACGGGCGACGGCGCGGGGCUAAGCGGCGGCGCGGGCGCACGGGCAGGCGGGCUCGCAGGCGCGGCGACGGCAGGCGGCGCGCGGGCGCGCGGGGCGGCACGUGGCGCAGGGCGCGGGCGGACGCGGGGGGGCACGCGCGUGCAGGCGGGCGGCGCAGGGCGGCUCGGGCGGCCGGAGUCGGGGAAGAACAUGGGCGGCGCGGCCAAACUCAAAAGCGACUGCGUCACGGUGUUCGCGCUGGAGAGGGGAGGAAGGAGAUGGGGUCGGCGCGGGCGGAAGCUCACCGGAAAGAUGGAGAAUCGCGAAGAACGGCGACGACCGCAACGAACUCCGGCGAGCAAUUAAUCUCUAACCGGUGCGAAAUUGAUCGUGGGGUUUGGGGGAAGUGGUAGAGGAGUUCGGGGGCUUCGAUAUGAAAUGCGG
This 6546-nucleotide long non-coding RNA is filed under the name Brachypodium distachyon (stiff brome). Its description in RNAcentral is "long non-coding RNA (BDIS_LNC000352)". Lineage: Eukaryota; Viridiplantae; Streptophyta; Magnoliopsida; Poales; Poaceae. The record is from RNAcentral.